Olea europaea var. sylvestris is the source of this 2032-nucleotide long non-coding RNA. RefSeq lists it as uncharacterized. NCBI's taxonomy places the organism in Eukaryota, Viridiplantae, Streptophyta, Magnoliopsida, Lamiales, Oleaceae. The record is from RefSeq and is a predicted model, not a curated record. The transcript has 3 exons.
CCCAGUAGACGACUUUUUAACUCCAAGGAGAAACAAACAGAAGAAAUCCUGUGUGUAAUGCAUCCUAACUGCUAUCAAGAAAAUCUAACGGUGAAAUUAUCAGUAUGUCCCUUCUUUGUUGCUAGUCAGUGUCAUGAUAUAGAAGCACAUGAGGCAGUGUGUGUCGAGGCAAGGCAUAUAUUCUCGUGAGUGGUCUUGCAUGAGCAGAAGUUUAAAUUUUUAUAUCCUGCUUAGAAUAGUAUUAUUUUCUUAUUGGACUUGACUUAGGCAGUUUUAGGUUACUUUAUAUUUUAUAUUUUAGACUCCAGUUUUCGUAUGCUUUUUGGGUUUUUCUGCCAGAUUGUGAAUGACUUUUCUGUAGAGGUUAAGUUGUGUUAGUUAGAGUGGGUUUUGGAAUUAUUAGAUUUAAAGAGUUUAUGAGUAACCUGUGUUCUUCAGGAAACAUAUCAAUUGAUUACUAUAAUUGAUUACCAAGUCUCUGGUGUUUUACUUCUGUCUCCACAAUAAUCCUUUUGUGUUUUCAGUCUUGAUAUUAUUUUAUUGGUUUAAGCUUGUCCUCCCACCAAAUGGCUUGAAUCGCCAUUAUCUAAUGUAACCCAUAUUUCAAAGCAAAUACUACGGUUUGUUUGCCCCUUUUUUUGAUAUUUUAUUUUUAGGUUUUAAAAUCCUUGUGCUUUGUGAUGUAGGCAUUUAGGAGAAGGGGGUGUGUGCUUGACCAACAAUCCAACUUAAUUAUUAGAUGCUAUAAAAUGUAAAAGAACAUGAAAAGAAUAGACAAUAAAAGGUUAGGAUUGAAGCUACCAUUGUAUCACUUAUUUUCAUCAAUGGUAAAGUUAAGCCAUUUAAAUAGCCUUUUCCUCUCGAAGCAUUAUACACGUAAGAUUCAAAAAAGUUAGUUUCCUUGUCAUUCUGCAAUGCAAGAAAGAGUACUAUUGGUUUGCAGUAUGAUAGAAAGGUUGGGAAAAGUGGCCUAUUUUUAUGGUUGGAUUUUUCUGAAUUUGAAACAUGGGUUGAUCUUCCUCACUGUCUUAUUCUAUUUUCUGGUUUUCUUGUUAUUCUUAUCAUCACACGUUAAUUCAUAACUGCAUAAUAGAGAACUCUGAUAUAGGAUCAGAAAGGAAAAAGGUAAAAACUCGUAAAGGUUUUAUGAAAUGUCACUCAACUAUUUCCUGUUUGGUUUUAUGUACAUUUAUUAAAAUGCUUUGUAAAUUGAAUUGGCCUUCUAAACGUGAAAUGGACUUGUGUCUAUGAAAAUGUACUGUCAACUCCGUUCAUUGUGGACCCUUAUGAGUGAAGUCAAAGGGGACUGUAGAACAAUGCUUAUGAUCAUGUAGGUUGGUUAUUUUGGCUUUACUGGUCAAUGUUUCCUGCAGUCCAUAAUGUUCUUUAUGUCCAUGAUUGGAUAUCAGUUCUUUUCCUUGGCAGAAUAAUUUUUUUCCCCAUUAAUCUCCUCGAGUGACUAGCUACUUGAAUGCCUUCAUGUUACUUCUAAAUUCAGGAUGAAAGGGAGAUUAAAAGACAGAGAAGAAAGCAAUCAAACCGGGAAUCUGCUCGCCGAUCCAGACUGCGCAAGCAGGCAGAAUGCGACGAGCUGGCCCAGCAUGCUGUAGCUUUAAAAGAAGAAAACUCGUCUCUUAGAGCAGAAGUGGCUCGUAUACGGAGCGAGUAUGAGCAACUUUGUGCCCAGAAUGCAUCUCUGAAGGAGAAACUUGGUGAAAGUUCCAGUCAGGAUGAUCCGAGGUGCAGUCAGGAUUCCGGCCAAGCAGAUAACGAGCAAAGUGGGCAAUGAGUUUUGAGAAUGAGUGGCUUAACCUAACCAGUAGUGAUAUGAACUCCAAAAUUUAGGUAUUGUGUAGUUGAAAAUUCUGUCAAAACUUACGAUUCUAGUCCCAAUAUUUGUUUGUCAAUUAUUGCCCAUUAUUUGCCAUUUGACCAACGUUUUAUGGUUGAGGAAUCCAGAUAUAAUGUAGAGCUGGUAAUUUGUGAUUUUACCCUCGUUCAGAAAAAAAGGGUAUUGCGUUCAUCCAUGUUA